AGAGUUUGAUCCUGGCUCAGUACGAACGCUGGCGGCGCGCCUAACACAUGCAAGUCGAACGGGAGAUUUCCUUCGGGAAAGAUCUAGUGGCGGACGGGUGAGUAACACGUGAGCAAUCUGCCUUUGGGAGGGGGAUAACGUCUGGAAACGGACGCUAAUACCGCAUAAUGUAUGGUUUUCGCAUGGGAAGCAUACCAAAGAUUUAUCGCCCAAAGAUGAGCUCGCGGCUGAUUAGCUAGUUGGCGGGGUAAAGGCCCACCAAGGCGACGAUCAGUAGCCGGACUGAGAGGUUGAACGGCCACAUUGGGACUGAGACACGGCCCAGACUCCUACGGGAGGCAGCAGUGGGGGAUAUUGCACAAUGGGCGAAAGCCUGAUGCAGCGACGCCGCGUGAGGGAAGACGGUUUUCGGAUUGUAAACCUCUGUCGAGGGGGACGAAGGAAGUGACGGUACCCCUUGAGGAAGCCACGGCUAACUACGUGCCAGCAGCCGCGGUAAUACGUAGGUGGCAAGCGUUGUCCGGAAUUACUGGGUGUAAAGGGAGCGUAGGCGGGAAUGCAAGUUGAAUGUAUAAACGGUCGGCUCAACCGGCCGAAGCGUUCAAAACUGCAGUUCUUGAGUGGAGUAGAGGCAGGCGGAAUUCCUAGUGUAGCGGUGAAAUGCGUAGAUAUUAGGAGGAACACCAGUGGCGAAGGCGGCCUGCUGGGCUUUAACUGACGCUGAGGCUCGAAAGCGUGGGUAGCAAACAGGAUUAGAUACCCUGGUAGUCCACGCUGUAAACGAUGAGACUAGGUGUGGGGGGACUGACCCCUUCCGUGCCGGAGUUAACACAAUAAGUCAUCCACCUGGGGAGUACGGCCGCAAGGCUGAAACUCAAAGGAAUUGACGGGGGCCCGCACAAGCAGUGGAGUAUGUGGUUUAAUCCGAAGCAACGCGGAGAACCUUACCAGGUCUUGACAUCCCGCGAAUAGCCUAGAGAUAGGUGAAGCUCUUCGGAGCGCGGAGACAGGUGGUGCAUGGUUGUCGUCAGCUCGUGUCGUGAGAUGUUGGGUUAAGUCCCGCAACGAGCGCAACCCUUAUUGCUAGUUGCUACGCAAGAGCACUCUAGUGAGACUGCCGUUGACAAAACGGAGGAAGGUGGGGAUGAUGUCAAAUCAUCAUGCCCCUUAUGACCUGGGCUACACACGUACUACAAUGGCGUCGAACAGAGGGAAGCAAAACCGCGAGGUGGAGCGAAUCCCCAAAAGACGUCUCAGUUCGGAUUGCAGGCUGCAACCCGCCUGCAUGAAGUCGGAAUUGCUAGUAAUCGCGGAUCAGCAUGCCGCGGUGAAUACGUUCCCGGGCCUUGUACACACCGCCCGUCACACCAUGAGAGCCGGUAACACCCGAAGUCAGGAGCCUAACCGCAAGGAGGGCACUGCCGAAGGUGGGAUUGGUGAUUAGGGUGAAGUCGUAACAAGGUAACCAA
This 1469-nucleotide ribosomal RNA is filed under the name uncultured bacterium. RNAcentral's name for it is "bacterial SSU rRNA". It matches the Rfam family "Bacterial small subunit ribosomal RNA". The record is from RNAcentral.